AUGUUCUGAUACAAUAAU
This 18-nucleotide unclassified non-coding RNA is filed under the name synthetic construct. The record is from RNAcentral.